RNAcentral lists this ribosomal RNA (433 nucleotides) under uncultured bacterium. Its description in RNAcentral is "partial 16S ribosomal RNA". It matches the Rfam family "Bacterial small subunit ribosomal RNA", at positions 29 to 507 of the family's 1533-position model. The record is from RNAcentral.
AACGAACGCUGGCGGCAUGCCUAACACAUGCAAGUCGAACGAGACCUUCGGGACUAGUGGCGCACGGGUGCGUAACGCGUGGGAACCUUCCCUUAGGGUCGGAAUAACUCCCCGAAAGGGGUGCUAAUACCGGAUAAUGUCUUCGGACCAAAGAUUUAUUGCCUUUGGAUGGUCCCGCGUUGGAUUAGCUAGUUGUUAGGGUAAAAGCCUACCAAGGCGACGAUCCAUAGCUGGUUUGAGAGGAUGAUCAGCCACACUGGGAGUGAGACACGGCCCAGACUCCUACGGGAGGCAGCAGUGGGGAAUAUUGGACAAUGGGCGAAAGCCUGAUCCAGCAAUGCCGCGUGAGUGAUGAAGGCCUUAGGGUUGUAAAGCUCUUUUACCCGGGAUGAUAAUGACAGUACCGGGAGAAUAAGCUCCGGCUAACUCCGUG